UCAGUGCUUCCCACUAAGCAGCAGGGGCCUUGAGGUUGUGGGGCCUCUGAUUUCACCUCUUUGUAGUAUAGUCCAGAUAUUCAAUAAACAGGGACUCAGGCCUCACGGAGCAAGGAGGGGACGGGCCGAGGCUGCCUGGGCCGGACACAGAGCUGCAAGGCUGAACUUGGUCCACAGGGAGCCAUUUUGAGUCUGCCGUUCUUGGUCAAGCCUCACCCCGGGGGCAUUUCCAGCCUCUGUUUUCUCCGCGGGAUUAAUAAGAGGCAGCCGUGCCCGGUCCAGUCGCCGCGAGGUGUUGUGCGCCACCUGGUGGUCGCGUGGCAGACAGCAUUCCUCCAAGCGAGACAGCACCAGCGGCUAAAAUGCAGCUAUCUGCACCUCGAACCCAGCCCAUCUUUUAGCCAAUGACAAGCCAAGUGCCCCAGAGUCCUGCAUGGCAGUGGACGCUGACAAGAACUCCAGGAAUUCCAGAUUGCAUGGAGCUUCUCGGCUCAGCUGCAUCUACCUGGAUCCUGAAUUUGAACCAAGUGGUCCAAACGGCCCGGUCACCUGAGCAACCCCUCUGCAGGAACCGCAGCCAGAGGAGGAAGAGAAGGUUGGUCCUCAGCGCCUGGACGCCUGGUAGACGAUAGGGGAUGACAUGAUGAGUAAAAUAAGGACAGGAACACGCCGAAUCCCCUUUCAUAAUGAUAGGACCACGCCAAAUCCCCUUUCUUUUUAAAAUUUG
Molecule: long non-coding RNA, 727 nt
Filed under: Homo sapiens (human)
Lineage: Eukaryota; Metazoa; Chordata; Mammalia; Primates; Hominidae
Description: HSALNT0130738
Source: RNAcentral